This 383-nucleotide ribosomal RNA is filed under the name Enterobacter sp. FER54. RNAcentral's name for it is "bacterial SSU rRNA". It matches the Rfam family "Bacterial small subunit ribosomal RNA", at positions 971 to 1355 of the family's 1533-position model. The record is from RNAcentral. Lineage: Bacteria; Pseudomonadati; Pseudomonadota; Gammaproteobacteria; Enterobacterales; Enterobacteriaceae.
UUACCUGGUCUUGACAUCCACAGAACUUGGCAGAGAUGCCUUGGUGCCUUCGGGAACUGUGAGACAGGUGCUGCAUGGCUGUCGUCAGCUCGUGUUGUGAAAUGUUGGGUUAAGUCCCGCAACGAGCGCAACCCUUAUCCUUUGUUGCCAGCGGUCCGGCCGGGAACUCAAAGGAGACUGCCAGUGAUAAACUGGAGGAAGGUGGGGAUGACGUCAAGUCAUCAUGGCCCUUACGACCAGGGCUACACACGUGCUACAAUGGCGCAUACAAAGAGAAGCGACCUCGCGAGAGCAAGCGGACCUCAUAAAGUGCGUCGUAGUCCGGAUUGGAGUCUGCAACUCGACUCCAUGAAGUCGGAAUCGCUAGUAAUCGUGAUCAGAAU